AUUGAACGCUGGCGGCAGGCCUAACACAUGCAAGUCGAGCGGAUGAAGGGAGCUUGCUCCUGGAUUCAGCGGCGGACGGGUGAGUAAUGCCUAGGAAUCUGCCUGGUAGUGGGGGAUAACGUCCGGAAACGGGCGCUAAUACCGCAUACGUCCUGAGGGAGAAAGUGGGGGAUCUUCGGACCUCACGCUAUCAGAUGAGCCUAGGUCGGAUUAGGUAGUUGGUGGGGUAAAGGCCUACCAAGGCGACGAUCCGUAACUGGUCUGAGAGGAUGAUCAGUCACACUGGAACUGAGACAAGGUCCAGACUCCUACGGGAGGCAGGAGUGGGGAAUUUUGGACAAUGGGCGAAAGCCUGAUCCAGCCAUGCCGCGUGGGGUAAGAAGGGCUUCGGAUUUGAAAGCACUUUAAGGUGGGAGGAAGGGCAGUAAGGUAAUACCUUGCUGUUUUGACGUUACCAACAGAAUAAGCACCGGCUAACUUCGUG
This 484-nucleotide ribosomal RNA is filed under the name uncultured bacterium. Its description in RNAcentral is "partial 16S ribosomal RNA". It matches the Rfam family "Bacterial small subunit ribosomal RNA", at positions 30 to 507 of the family's 1533-position model. The record is from RNAcentral.